GACGAACCGUGCGAACGUUGUUCGGAAUCACUGGGCUUAAAGGGUGCGUAGGCGGGCCAGUAAGUCAGGGGUGAAAUCCCACGGCCCAACCGUGGAAGUGCCUCUGAUACUGCGGGCCUGGAGGGGGAUAGGGGCGUGCGGAACUUCCGGUGGAGCGGUGAAAUGCGUAGAUAUCGGAAGGAACACCGGUGGCGAAAGCGGCGCGCUGGAUCCCUACUGACGCUGAGGCACGAAAGCCAGGGGAGCAAACGGG
This 253-nucleotide ribosomal RNA is filed under the name uncultured bacterium. RNAcentral describes it as "partial 16S ribosomal RNA". It matches the Rfam family "Bacterial small subunit ribosomal RNA", at positions 524 to 776 of the family's 1533-position model. The record is from RNAcentral.